This 698-nucleotide ribosomal RNA is filed under the name uncultured bacterium. RNAcentral describes it as "bacterial SSU rRNA". It matches the Rfam family "Bacterial small subunit ribosomal RNA", at positions 171 to 883 of the family's 1533-position model. The record is from RNAcentral.
AGAAGACAUCUGAAGGAGAUUAAAGAUUUAUCGGUGAUGGAUGGGGAUGCGUCUGAUUAGCUUGUUGGCGGGGUAACGGCCCACCAAGGCGACGAUCAGUAGGGGUUCUGAGAGGAAGGUCCCCCACAUUGGAACUGAGACACGGUCCAAACUCCUACGGGAGGCAGCAGUGAGGAAUAUUGGUCAAUGGACGAGAGUCUGAACCAGCCAAGUAGCGUGCAGGAUGACGGCCCUAUGGGUUGUAAACUGCUUUUAUAAGGGAAUAAAGUGAGUCUCGUGAGACUUUUUGCAUGUACCUUAUGAAUAAGGACCGGCUAAUUCCGUGCCAGCAGCCGCGGUAAUACGGAAGGUCCGGGCGUUAUCCGGAUUUAUUGGGUUUAAAGGGAGCGUAGGCCGGAGAUUAAGCGUGUUGUGAAAUGUAGACGCUCAACGUCUGCACUGCAGCGCGAACUGGUUUCCUUGAGUACGCACAAAGUGGGCGGAAUUCGUGGUGUAGCGGUGAAAUGCUUAGAUAUCACGAAGAACUCCGAUUGCGAAGGCAGCUCACUGGAGCGCAACUGACGCUGAAGCUCGAAAGUGCGGGUAUCGAACAGGAUUAGAUACCCUGGUAGUCCGCACGGUAAACGAUGGAUGCCCGCUGUUGGUCUGAAUAGGUCAGCGGCCAAGCGAAAGCAUUAAGCAUCCCACCUGGGGAGUAC